AAGAGAGGUCUGGGACAUAAAGAACUGCUAAUUCUUCAAUCAUGGUUCAAAUCCAUGGCUCACUUG
This 66-nucleotide transfer RNA is filed under the name Squalus formosus (Taiwan spurdog). Its description in RNAcentral is "tRNA-Ser". Lineage: Eukaryota; Metazoa; Chordata; Chondrichthyes; Squaliformes; Squalidae. The record is from RNAcentral.